AUUGAACGCUGGCGGCAUGCCUUACACAUGCAAGUCGAACGGCAGCACGGGUGCUUGCCCCUGGUGGCGAGUGGCGAACGGGUGAGUAAUACAUCGGAACAUGUCCUGUAGUGGGGGAUAACCCGGCGAAAGCCGGAUUAAUACCGCAUACGAUCCACGGAUGAAAGCGGGGGACCUUCGGGCCUCGCGCUAUAGGGUUGGCCGAUGGCUGAUUAGCUAGUUGGUGGGGUAAAGGCCUACCAAGGCGACGAUCAGUAGCUGGUCUGAGAGGACGACCAGCCACACUGGGACUGAGACACGGCCCAGACUCCUACGGGAGGCAGCAGUGGGGAAUUUUGGACAAUGGGCGAAAGCCUGAUCCAGCAAUGCCGCGUGUGUGAAGAAGGCCUUCGGGUUGUAAAGCACUUUUGUCCGGAAAGAAAUCCUUGACUCUAAUACAGUCGGGGGAUGACGGUACCGGAAGAAUAAGCACCGGCUAACUACGUG
This 486-nucleotide ribosomal RNA is filed under the name uncultured bacterium. RNAcentral's name for it is "partial 16S ribosomal RNA". It matches the Rfam family "Bacterial small subunit ribosomal RNA", at positions 30 to 507 of the family's 1533-position model. The record is from RNAcentral.